UUACGGUCAAAUCACGCUGAAAACACCGGUUCUCGUUCGAUCACCGAAAUCACGUUAAGCAUCGUAGAGGCCAGGUCAGUACUUCGAUGGGGGACCGCUUGGGAACACCUGGUACUGUAAG
RNAcentral lists this ribosomal RNA (121 nucleotides) under Acanthosepion pharaonis. The record is from RNAcentral. Lineage: Eukaryota; Metazoa; Mollusca; Cephalopoda; Sepiida; Sepiidae.